This 606-nucleotide ribosomal RNA is filed under the name Triticum aestivum (bread wheat). RNAcentral's name for it is "partial small subunit ribosomal RNA". Lineage: Eukaryota; Viridiplantae; Streptophyta; Magnoliopsida; Poales; Poaceae. The record is from RNAcentral.
AUGGCCCGUGGAGACGAUCUACAUGCCAUCAAGUAUCUUCCCCUCAAGCUCAAAGGACCCGCCCAACACUGGCUAAACAGUCUGCCUGCAAAUUCCAUUGGCAGUUGGGAAAACCUGGAAGACGCAUUUCUUGACAACUUGCAAGGCACAUAUGUGCGACCUCCGGGUGCCGAUGACUUGAGCCACAUUACUCAACAGCCCGGAGAAUUAGCCAGGAAAUUCUGGACUCGGUUCCUAACUAAAAAGAACCAAAUAGUUGACUGUCCGGACGCUGAAGCCCUGGCGGCCUUCAAGCAUAAUAUCCGUGACGAGUGGCUCGCCCGACACCUCAGCCAGGAGAAACCCAAGUCCAUGGCAGCUCUCACGACAGUAAUGACCCGCUUUGCGCGGGCGAAGACAGCUGGUUGGCUCGCAGUAGCACUAUGCCACAUUCUGGCACUUCAGAUGUCCGGGGCAAUAAUGGCAAGCUAUGGCGCAACAGACACAAGCGACGGAAUAAUGGCGACAACACCGAAGACAUGGUGGUCAAUGCCGGAUUCAGCGGAUCCAAAUCCGGUCAGAGGAAGAAGCCAUUCAAAAGAAACAAUCAGGGACCGUCUAGUCUAG